This is a long non-coding RNA of Zingiber officinale, 292 nucleotides long. RefSeq lists it as uncharacterized. Lineage: Eukaryota; Viridiplantae; Streptophyta; Magnoliopsida; Zingiberales; Zingiberaceae. The record is from RefSeq and is a predicted model, not a curated record. The transcript is spliced from 4 exons.
AAUUGUGCCACUCGAUCGUCUGCGAGGGUCACGGAUUGGGUGACACCUCCUGGAUACAAUCGGUUGAGUGAGGACCUGUUCUGUGGAUUGCUCUAUGAUCCAACAAUAUAUUGUUUCAACAGCAACUCGAUUAGAGCAGUGAGGUCCUGUUGUUGUGGUGUUGGGAAGGUGAUCGUGAAGUGAUUUUAGCAGCAACCUUGAUCCAGCAAGCAAUAGGGGCUGUGAAUCGAGGAUUCUGAUUCGAGACAGGCGUCUCGACGUUGACUUCGGAUUUUGAUUGACUGUACCUUCU